CUUUAUCUUCUCUCAUCUUUCAUUAAAAAAAAAAAUUAAAAAAAAAAAAAAACUACAAAUUUUUUGGAUCUAUGUAGUAUGGUUAAUUUCCUUUAUAUUGCAUCUUAUUUUAUUUUUUUGAGCUAUUUUUUUCUAUAUUUAUUUGCUAGUGAUCUUGAAAUAUAUGUUUCUAUGAAUUUUGUUUUUGUUUUUAUUUUGAUUCUAUGUUUUUUUUUCUUAAAUCAAUUUCUUAGUUAUUUUAUUUUUUUUUAGCUAGAUUUCUCUUUAUUUGCUAGUGAUUUUGAUAAUUAUUAUCUUUUUAGAUAUAUUUUUCUAUAUUUAUUUGUUAGUGAUCUUGAAGAUAUAUGCUUCUAUGAGUUUUUGUUUUUAUUUUUAUUUUAUGUUUUUAUUUAAUCAAUUUCUUAGUGUAUUGAUUUAGCUUGCUUCUUCAAUAGAAAGAUUGUGGUCAAGUUAUAUAUGAUGGAAUUUUUGAACAAUUCCAAUCUACAUAUAAGUUUUUAAAUUUUAUUUUUUGUUUUGAAGUCUUAAAUAGUGUAGAUUCUUCUUAAUUUAGAUCUUUACUUUUGUAGCUAAGAAUAUGUAUAUAUGUACUUGGAUUUUGUACCCUAUAAAUAUAUAUCCUAUGUGAAACAUUUAUUUAGGGUUUGUGGUUCAUUUUGUAGACAUCCAAUAAAAUUGAAACGGUAUAGAGAAAAUAGGGUUUCUGAAUUUGAAUCAGGCUUAUCGAUCUAUCGAACAAUUAACAACAGUUGUUGUUUGCAGAUGUAGCAUCAUCAAGAUUCAUACAUGAAAAUUAAGAGGCAAGGUUAUAUAUGUAGCUUUAAUUGAAAUGAAAAAUAAAAUAUAUCAUGACCAUGUCUAUUUAUUUUAAAGUGAGAAUCUUGAUGAUGCUGCAUCAGCAAUAAAUAACUAUCAGUGACAGAGUUAGGAUUUUUAAGGAUUUCUAAUAUCCAAUAGGGUUUUGUAUAUAAAGGGGUUCAGAUGAAUAUCUUCUGCCUCCGCUCUAAACUAAUUAUGAGCUGUGGAGGCAGAAUUUUGAAAAAAUCAACAUCUAUUAUAUAUAGAUAUAACGAUAUUUUCUUGACUUUUCCAUAUCAUCCUCUUUGAUUUUUUUGGUGAAAUGAACCCCUUUCGUCCCUCUAGCUUCGCCCCGUCACUCUCUAAGCAAAAGUAAAUAGUACGGAUGCUCAGUUCAUUUGUACCUGGAGAUAGAUGAUUAAAUGGAUUUAAUUUUCCUUUAUUUUAUUUUACUGUAUUUUUCAGUACUUUAUAGUAAAUAUUCUUGUCAGUUAUAUAUCUAUUUAUAUAUGUAACAAUUUUAAUUUUUUUAAAAAAAAUUCUAACAGGUGAAAAUUAGAUUCUUUGUUUAUUUUGAGACUGCAGAUCUGUGGCCACUGAAGUUCUGAUAGAUCAGAAGUUGUAAUUUCUCUAUCUUACACAGAUUUGGUACGAAAAAUAUAUUUACACAAUCAAAUCGUUUAUUAUAAGGUUGGAUUUUGCCUCUAAGAGUUUUUAUCAACCAUAAGAAGCGGAGUUUUGGAGGAACGGAAAAAAUUAUCUCAAUUUACAGGUUAUGAGUCUGAGCUGUGAAAUUAGCAACAAGUAUUUAGGUCAUAGUAGGAUCAAUGCCUAUAUUAUACUCUCACGCUCUUUCCGAACUCUGUAUAUAUAAAUACAAAAUGAUUUGUGCAUUGGAUUGCUAUUUUGUGAAUGUAUGAAUGAAUAAGAGCAAAUGUAACACAUGAUCCACACAACUUGCUAUAAAAUGACCUAGCAAGUUACUAUA
Molecule: long non-coding RNA, 1786 nt
Organism: Solanum tuberosum (potato)
Lineage: Eukaryota; Viridiplantae; Streptophyta; Magnoliopsida; Solanales; Solanaceae
Exons: 2
Source: RefSeq, a predicted model, not a curated record